Molecule: unclassified non-coding RNA, 24 nt
Filed under: Mus musculus (house mouse)
Lineage: Eukaryota; Metazoa; Chordata; Mammalia; Rodentia; Muridae
Description: oocyte_clustered_small_RNA216
Source: RNAcentral
UGCGAGCAAGGUUCUGAGUUCUAU